This 351-nucleotide long non-coding RNA is filed under the name Mustela putorius furo (domestic ferret). RNAcentral's name for it is "lncRNA (ENSMPUG00000029632.1)". Lineage: Eukaryota; Metazoa; Chordata; Mammalia; Carnivora; Mustelidae. The record is from RNAcentral.
UAUUAAAGCAUACUCUAGACUUACUAUGCUCCAGGUACCGUUCAUUGGAGUCCUCCAAGCUCUUGGAGGUGGGGAUAUGAUUACCCAUCAACAGCUGAGGUUAUCCAGACACAGAGAAGUUCGAGAACUUGCUCAGGCUCACCGGGAUUGCAGGCAGAAGCCUGAAAAAAUAGAAGAGCUCUCCAUUCUGCCCAGAAGGUCAAGGACACACUCGGCAUCAUGAGCCCCACAUUCUGAAGGGGAGGACCCUCUACUGAGAAUGCAAAGAAUGGCUUCCUGGCCCACAUAAAACUUUGGCUUGUGAGGCUCUAUUUCCACUGGACCAUGGUAAGACAGCAUGUAACAGUUUAA